Molecule: ribosomal RNA, 468 nt
Filed under: uncultured bacterium
Lineage: Bacteria
Description: partial 16S ribosomal RNA
Rfam family: Bacterial small subunit ribosomal RNA (bases 58-468)
Source: RNAcentral
GGGGGGGGGGGGGGGGGGGGGGGGGGGGGGGGGGGGGGGGGGGGGGGGGGUGGGGGUGGGGGGUGCUCGGGUGGGGGGCGGGUGGGGGGCGCGUGGGUCGCGUGGCCGUGACUUUGGGAUAGCUUCGGGACGCUGGGGCGAGUACCGGGUAGGAGCUCCUGCUGCGUGGUGGGGGUUGGACAGUUUCGGCGGUUGGGGAUGGGCUCGCGGCUUAUCAGCUUGGUGGUGGGGUAGUGGCCUACCAAGGCUGUGACGGGUAGCCGGCCUGAGAGGGUGACCGGCCACAUUGGGACUGAGAUACGGCCCAGACGCCUACGGGAGGCAGCAGUGGGGAAUAUUGCACAAUGGGCGGAAGCCUGAUGCAGCAACGCCGCGUGCGGGAUGACGGCCUUCGGGUUGUAAACCGCUUUCGCCUGUGACGAAGCGUGAGUGACGGUAAUGGGUAAAGAAGCACCGGCUAACUACGUG